Molecule: ribosomal RNA, 242 nt
Filed under: uncultured bacterium
Lineage: Bacteria
Description: partial 16S ribosomal RNA
Rfam family: Bacterial small subunit ribosomal RNA
Source: RNAcentral
UGGGUAACCUGCCUCAAAGAGGGGAAUAGCCUCCCGAAAGGGAGAUUAAUACCGCAUAAUAUGUUUAAGCCGCAUGACUUUAACAUCAAAGGAUUUUCUUUUAGAAAUUCCACUUUGAGAUGGACCCGCGGCGCAUUAGCUAGUUGGUGAGGUAACGGCUCACCAAGGCAACGAUGCGUAGCCGACCUGAGAGGGUGAUCGGCCACAUUGGAACUGAGACACGGUCCAGACUCCGUAGGGAG